RNAcentral lists this non-coding RNA (256 nucleotides) under Faecalibacterium. Its description in RNAcentral is "cf. T-box sequence". It matches the Rfam family "T-box leader". From Rfam's summary of the family: Uncharged tRNA acts as the effector for transcription antitermination of genes in the T-box leader family. T-boxes are found upstream of many aminoacyl-tRNA synthetase genes and some amino acid biosynthetic genes usually in Gram-positive bacteria. The anticodon of a specific tRNA base pairs to a specifier sequence within the T-box motif, and the NCCA acceptor tail of the tRNA base pairs to a conserved bulge in the T-box antiterminator hairpin. Lineage: Bacteria; Bacillati; Bacillota; Clostridia; Eubacteriales; Oscillospiraceae. The record is from RNAcentral.
UUAAUGGCGAUGAAGGGAACAAGUACCUUGAAGUGUUCUGCCCAGAGAAACCCCGGUUGGUGUAAGGGGCCGCAGAGCAACAGGGGAAAUACCUCCCGGAGCUGCAGGCUGAAUGCCGUUCAGGUUAAUAGGCUGUGCCGCGUGCGAGCGUUACAAACGCAGGAGUGUCUCUCUACUCUGGGGUGUGCACUCGUGAGGUCGUUUCUGUGAGGAAGCGGCAAACAGAGGUGGUACCGCGAAUUUUCUCGCCCUCUGC